Molecule: non-coding RNA, 2236 nt
Organism: Macaca mulatta (Rhesus monkey)
Lineage: Eukaryota; Metazoa; Chordata; Mammalia; Primates; Cercopithecidae
Source: RefSeq, a predicted model, not a curated record
GGUUGCUAGCACAUUGUCACCUCUCAGUAGCUCUUCUGGGAGCUGAUCUCAGGACGCUCCAACCUUCCUGAGGGUAGGGGGAGUGGGAAGGAGCCAGGACAAAGCUGUGGGCAGCUAGGGUUCAGCCAUGGGGAGAGGGGUAGAUAAUACCCCAGGGUCCUCCCAGCCCAAGGGGCAGGAAGUGGGGCUGUUCACCCUCCAAUUCCCACUUGUAAUCAGCUAAGGGCUGCUUGUGUCCCGACCCCACAUUGCUGGGAAAGCCCUCAGGCAGAUUCUCCAGGGGCUGCAGGAGGCCUGCGCAGCGCUGGGAGCCAUGAGCCUGGGGAGUCACCAGGGCACCAGCAGAAACUGCGGCUCCACCAUAUUUAUUAUAGGAUUUGAAAAUAGUGACCAAUGUAUACCCCCUUGGAAUUAAUAUGGAGCAGACUCUAUUUAAAUGAGGAAAAGUGUAUUUUUCUAGUUAAUUGGACACUCAGGGAGUAGAGGACUGGAAUAGAGCCAUUGCGAUCUGGAUUUCUGUUUAAUAAAACAAGUGCGAGCGUGGCAUUAUUCUAACCACCAGUAUUUAUCUUUCAAAGUCACUUGGCAGCACUAAUAUGUGUAACUGCUAAAUGCAUGUGGUUGCUGAAAAUCUAAAAUAAUACAUUAUAAUCUAUUUAGAGCAGUAAGAUAAUUUAUGCUAUUAGAAACUUGGAGAAAAUGAGCAAUCUUUAAGCACCUUGGUAAACAGAGACAGUACCUGACGUUUGAAGCACAGCAAUUGCAGGAAGUCUUUUAUUCAUUUCAGAAGGAGGAGUCCCCUACCUCCCUGACUCAGCAUCGUUUGCUGUUUGCUAACGAACUUUUGGAUGCUGUGGCAUUGCUUCCUGGGAAGAUAAGCCAUGACCCUUACCGCAAGAGGCAAGUCUGGAUGGGCCUGGGUGCUCAGGGCCUUUUUCACCCAUACCACUGGGGUGUCCAAGGGACAAGGCGUGUGUGGAUUAUUACGGAGUAAACAGUGCUUUAUGCUUCAUCAGUAUAAUCACAUUCAGAAUCACAAAAUGUGCAUGCUAUCAGGAUCAUAAGCCCUCUCCUCUCUUUUUAAAAAGUAAGUGGGAAAAUAGUAAUCGUGUAAGCUUGUGGGGCGUGUGCUAUGGCGAGGUGUGCAUGUGCUUGCGGGUGCCUUAGCGGAGCCACCUCCUCACAUGAGUAUUGUGUGUGUGUGUUGAGAACGUUUAAAAUCUACUCUUUUAGCAAUUUAAAAAUGUGUAAUACAUUUUUAUUCGCUAAGAUUACCUGUCUGUGCACUAGGUCAGUGAAACCCAUUCCUCCCGCUUAACUGUUGACUUUGUACCUUUUGACCAACAGCUCCCCUUUCCGCCUCCGCCGCCUCAGCCCAGCCCCUGCUAACCGCCAUUCUCCUCCAUUCUUUUUCUCAGAGAUGCCAAUGAUCAGCCUUUCUCCCCCGUCUGGGAGCCCUGCGUGCCUGGAGUAUUACCUUUGCUUGCCGUGCGGCUCUGUCCAUGUUGCCUCUGGAGUGUGCCUUCUCAGCCUUCACUGUCCUUCGUUGCCUGGACACUUCUGAAGAGAGCAGGCCAGCAGUUUGGUCAGUGGCCCACCUGAGCGGACUGACGGGAUGUGCCCAUGGUAGGGACAUCCCAAAGCCCAGCACAUGGGGGCGGGGGCGGCUCAGCAGGACAGUGCUGUUGACCACGUUACGUGGCUGUGUAUGGGAAUGUUGGAUGUCUACCUGCUUCUGGUCCUCCCUGUUCUAAAAGCAAACCCCAGACCUGGAAGGGGAGGUGGGAGAAAGCACUGCUGGUACUCACGGGUCCCUGAACAAAGUCUUUGCCCUUCCCCCACCUCUCCAGAAAGCCCCUCUCCGGAGUCUGCCCUCUGACUUAGAUUGAAUUCUUCUUCUAAGUACUUCUGAAAUAGAAAUCCCUCUGAUGGCCACAGUGAAACUCCAUUUCUCUGCACCUCCACACCAGCUCAUCUGGGGCUAGUCCCUGCCCUUGGUUGGUUUUGACAAACAGAAUCUCUCUCUAUCACUAUUCACAGUUCAUACUACAGAGGGCUGAGUCUUCUGAAGAUCUCUGCAGAGAAUUACAAAUAUUCCAACUGCUAUUUGCUGCCACAGAGGGCUGAGCACAUGCAGAAACUUCUGGAGACAAAUUAUCCUUCAUAAACUCUGUGAAAUAUGUUCCUCUUAUGCCAAACCUAUCUUUUGAAAGGAAAAAGAACUUUCUGUGUCGGG